This is a long non-coding RNA of Schistocerca cancellata (South American locust), 1976 nucleotides long. RefSeq lists it as uncharacterized. NCBI's taxonomy places the organism in Eukaryota, Metazoa, Arthropoda, Insecta, Orthoptera, Acrididae. The record is from RefSeq and is a predicted model, not a curated record. The transcript has 2 exons.
UUACGGUACGGGGUGUUUUUCGUGAUUAGCGUGUGGUCCACUUAUCCCGCUUAAGAAAAAGUUAUAUGCGGGAAGAAAUGACUAAACUUUGUGAACUGCGUACCAUAAAGUAAUAGUCUGGAGACGGUUACUGCAUAUGUCAGCAUCACAACGCACUCUUUCAGAAAGCUGAAUCUGUGAGGCAGUGGCUUGUGCGCAGUAACAUUACUGAAAUGAACUGGUCUGCCUGGAGUGGCGAUCUGGACCCAACGGAGCAACUUUGGGAUGAGUUAGAACGUAUACUACACUCCAGGCCAUUAGAUCCAAAAUCUUCUCUGGUUUCAAGUUCUGAGGAACAAUGGACUGCCAUUCCUCCACAGGCAUUCAGACACAUCGUUGAAAUUGUCCCCACCAGAGCCCAAGCCGUCAUAAAGACGAAGACUGGAUACACACCACCUGAAUGUCCACUAAUACUUGUCUAGAUACAUUUUAUAAAAUGGUGUAUUAAUAGACAAACAUUGUGCAACCUCUUUAGACAGCUAAGCACGCACCUCUGAAGCAAAGUGAUUGGUCUGACAUGCUACUGGAACUAAACUGAAUUAAUUUCUCUGUUACAAAUGUUCUGUGUGUGUGUGUUUUAAACGUAGUCUUCGAAUAUGUUUCUUUUAAAUGUAAAAAAUACGCAGAAAACCUGUAUGUAUAAUGUCAGUAAGUACUUAUGCGAACAACAAUAAUACUUUUCAAUUUCCAACGUUUUAUGUACUUAUAAGACGGACGCUCAUGUGCGGCGUUGGCCUUUGCCCGACAAGAUUAAAGCCUUCAUGCACACUCCUACAUCUAACCAGGAGACUUUCGAGAGAGUGUUUACACUUAACACUGCAAUGUGCCUAUUACAAGACUUGGACGAACAACAACAACAAUAACAACAACAAUAAUAAUAAUAAUAACUAAUGUUACAGAAAUGAGUACAGGUAUUACAGAAAUGAGUACAGGUAUUACGGUAAUUUCAGUCUUAUUAAGUUUUGCUGUCCGCCUUGUAAGCUGAGCGGUCAGCUCGACGGAAUGUCAUGCUAAGGGGCCCGGUUCGAUUCCCGGGUGGGUAGGAGAUUUUCUCCGCUCAGGGACUGGGUGUUGUAUUAUCAUCUCAUCUCCAUCGACACGCAAGUCGCCGAAGUGGCAUCAACUCAUAAGACUUGCACCGGGCGAACGGUCUACCCGCCUGCCAUUCGCCUGCAAUCAUUCGUAAGGACUACAGAAAAUCUAAAUCAGGGUGGUCUAAAGGCAACUUGAACCAAGCUCCUCUCGAAUAAAAGUCCACAUUCUUAAUCACUGCGGAAGCUCUUCCUGUGACUGCAAAGCAACAGAAUAUUGCUUUGAAUUCGUUUGUAGUUUGCAAGUACUGAACAUUUAAAUGCAAGUGAAACUUUGUGUCCGGCUGGGACCCGAUUUUCAGCUUUUCGCGAGUAGUCGCCUUAACCACUAUGCUAUCUGAUUUCGCUUCCAGGCUUGACUGAGAUUUUCAUUUUCAGUUAUUUUUCCUUCAAUUACUUCUGAACUUCACGAAGAAAGAUUCUCCCACAGCGUGCGUGGCAAACAACAGGGACAUCGCACAUUCAGAAUUUCUGCCUUGUUACCUGUGGUAUCAUUUCAUGUUAUUGCAUCUUCACUGUUUUCUACUCAACGAUCCAUUCAUUUCAUUUCAGUGAAUAUGAAACACUUUACAACAUGUACUCACACAACUAAUUCCUGUUCUGUUUUCAUCUUUCCCCGCGGAAGUAAGUAUAUAUAAUACAUAGCGGUAUCUCAGCGUGAGAACGAGCUGGCCACACAACCUUCUUCCCGAACACUACUUCCCAUUAAUCUGAGGCCUCCGAACUAGAGAAUCCCAGCGGAUGGGUCAACAGUGCAAUGUUAAAAAUGUGCUUAGUACUGGCUCCACCUACAAAGACGCCUAAUGCCAUGACGAUGCGUCAUAAGAAACAAAUUCUUAGAGGAAA